AGCAUAUCAAUAAGCGGAGGAAAAGAAACCAACAGGGAUUGCCUCAGUAACGGCGAGUGAAGCGGCAACAGCUCAAAUUUGAAAUCUGGCCCCCAGGCCCGAGUUGUAAUUUGCAGAGGAUGCUUUGGGCGCGGCGCCUUCCGAGUUCCCUGGAACGGGACGCCACAGAGGGUGAGAGCCCCGUCUGGUUGGAUGCCUAGCCUAUGUAAAGCUCCUUCGACGAGUCGAGUAGUUUGGGAAUGCUGCUCUAAACGGGAGGUAUAUGUCUUCUNNNNNNAAAUNNNGNCCAGAGACCGAUAGCGCACAAGUAGAGUGAUCGAAAGAUGAAAAGCACUUUGAAAAGAGGGUUAAAUAGUACGUGAAAUUGUUGAAAGGGAAGCGCUUACGACCAGACUUGGGCUCGGCGGAUCACCCGGCGUUCUUCGCCGGGGCACUCCGCCGGCUCAGGCCAGCAUCGGUUUGCCUCGGGGGACAAAGGCGGCGGGAACGUAGCUCCCUCGGGAGUGUUAUAGCCCGCCGUGUAAUACCNUGCGGCGGACCGAGGACCGCGCAUCUGCAAGGAUGCUGGCGUAAUGGUCGUCAGCG
This 585-nucleotide ribosomal RNA is filed under the name uncultured fungus. RNAcentral's name for it is "eukaryotic LSU rRNA". It matches the Rfam family "Eukaryotic large subunit ribosomal RNA", at positions 37 to 646 of the family's 3401-position model. Lineage: Eukaryota; Fungi. The record is from RNAcentral.